Molecule: ribosomal RNA, 451 nt
Filed under: uncultured bacterium
Lineage: Bacteria
Description: bacterial SSU rRNA
Rfam family: Bacterial small subunit ribosomal RNA
Source: RNAcentral
AACGAACGCUGGCGGCAGGCCUAACACAUGCAAGUCGAACGCCCGUAGCAAUACGGGAGUGGCAGACGGGUGAGUAACGCGUGGGAACGUGCCCUUCGGUUCGGAAUAACUCAGGGAAACUUGAGCUAAUACCGGAUACGUCCGUAAGGAGAAAGAUUUAUCGCCGAAGGAUCGGCCCGCGUCGGAUUAGCUAGUUGGUGAGGUAAUGGCUCACCAAGGCGACGAUCCGUAGCUGGUCGAGAGGAUGAUCAGCCACACUGGGACUGAGACACGGCCCAGACUCCUACGGGAGGCAGCAGUGGGGAAUAUUGGACAAUGGGCGAAAGCCUGAUCCAGCCAUGCCGCGUGAGUGAAGAAGGCCUUAGGGUUGUAAAGCUCUUUCAGCGGGGAAGAUAAUGACGGUACCCGCAGAAGAAGCCCCGGCUAACUUCGUGCCAGCAGCCGCCGUAAU